UAAACUUGCUCCUGAUGUAAUUACCGUGAUAAAGCUCUGUGGCAUGACGGAUCAUCCUUAACUGCACUGUCGCUGUUGACUUCAGACAAGAGGAUAUUUUAUCCCAUGCUUUUGUGCUGAAUUUGAAUCAAGAAUCAUGCACCGUGUCAGAGGUGUUUGUGACAUCUGCAAUUCCCACACAAAGGAAAGAAAUCCUUUGAGGCCAGAGCUCCCAGGAAAAGAUGACUUUAAAGGGAGGCAUGACUGUGUACAAAGGAAAGCAAGAACCAAGAAACAAAUCACAGCUUCCACUGGAGAUGAGGUGCAACAGGGAAACUGAGGAAAGGAAACAUUUAGGCUGCAAAGAUGGGAAGAAUUCCUCCCAGUGAGAUUCCUUAGGUGCGGACUAGUUCCUCAAGGGAAGCACUGGAAGUCCGAGUUGCUCAGAUCAUUCAAAUUUUAACUGGACAAAGCCUAAGAGAACCAUCCUUCACUGCCUGGCCAGGAGGAAGCACAGAUGGGGCUUACCAGCCCUCUUCCAUCGCUCUAGUCUGUGAUCCUCUCCGCUCUUCUCCCUUAAGAGACCCAGCCCAAAACUCUGGUUGCCUCGGCAGCUGCUGUAGCUGCGGAUUUAUGCAGAUGCACCGAACGCCGGGGCAGGACAGGACAGCUUUCUCCAUAGCUCCCAGCACGCUUGCUCCCAUCUCGUACAUCAUAUUUCUAUUUCCAGUGUAUUUCUUCCCGCUGCAGGAAUUUAAGCCACAGAGCUUUUGAGGGGGAAAGACAGCAAGACAAAAAGGAGCCUACAAAGCAAAGCCACUGAGAUGUGAUUUUUUUUUUUUUUUUUUACUUAUCAAAGAUUUUAAAUCUAAGGCCCUUGAUGGAACUAAAGAGCCUGGCUUUAAAGAAGCAAAACUGUAUGUGAUCCGUUAACGAAGCUGAAAGCAUCACCUUGAAAGACACCAAGACAAGGACAUCCUUUAAAUUCCAACCUGACUGCAGUGGGUAUUUACUUCCCCUAACAAGCUAGUUAUCACUCCUCAGGCAGGUCAGAGGGACAUGGCUUGGGAUGACCCAGCGUGUGGGGAGGGGAAUAACUCUGUCUCCCAGACAACUCUACUGUUACUGAACAGACACUGAGGAGGAAAUGCAAAAUAAUAGUAUGUUAGCAUUAGAAAGGCAAAAGGCCCAGAGCAAAUCUGCUCUCACUAGGAUGUCCUAUUGCUCUGCCCCAGAUGAUCUCAUUGUAUGUUUCACUCAUUUCUUUAUUGCCACGUGUUUUUUAUUGAAGGGAAACCAAUAAUCUAAUACCCUGGAUAUUAACAUAAUUUCCUCUAUGUAACAUUUUUUUCCCUCCAAAGGUCUUUCUGGGUUAGUUGAGUGUAGUUAACAGACCAUUCCAGACCAGGAUUUAAGGAGCCCCCCCCCCCCCCCCCCCGUGUUAGUGUUUGAUAUUAAUCCAAAUCUGGGAACCAGAGAGCCAGAGAGAACCAAAGGACCUGUCUGUGCCCAGCAAUCUUAUAAAGAAUCCCCUUUACCUUCAUUAUAUCGGGAUCCUGUCUCUUCUCUGUCCUAACAGAUAUAACUUAGAUAAUAUUUUUACUUCAAGGUCCAAGACACCCAGGCAAGGUUUUCAUCUCGAGGCCAAAAGACCAGAAACAUCAAGACACUUGAUCACGGCCUUGGAUAGACCAAGAGACUACUUACACGUGAUCUACAAUUAGGAGUGAACUUUAGCCUUUGGAAUCUUGCUUCUGCCAAUGUCAGCAUCUGGUGCUUCAGAGGAUGGCAGUGAAAUAGGCUGACCAGAGGGCAAGUGUGAAAAAUCGGGACCUGGGGUGGGGAGUAAUAGGUGUCUAUAUAAGAAAAAGCCCCCAAAAUCGGGACAGUCCCAAUAAAAUCGGGACAUCUGGUCACCCUAAGUGAACAACUCCCAGAAUGCACCUGGAUAAUUAUGGAUGGGGAAAGAAAUGCUGUCCUCAUCUUACGUGUGGUCAGGUGAUACUCUGACACAAGUGAUUUGAUCUGUCCCUCUUGAACUGGUGCUGAUAUCUAGAGCUGGGGGUGGGCAGAGAGUUUUCCCAUCCCGCAAGAGUUUUUUUUUGAGAUUUCAAGAAAAAUUUCUGCUCCUAAAUUUGGACAAAAGGUCCAAAACGCAAAAUGUUCAUGAAUCGAUAAUACCAGGCAAUUUCCCAAAUGCUCUCACGACCCUUGUGGGAGCUGAAUAAGAGACGGAAGCAUUGCUGCCCCGGUUCAGAGUGUGAGGUCCAGGGCUGCUGCCUCCCUGUGUGCCAUGUUUUUUUUUUUAACUCUUCCUUUGCGUUUUCCAUGAAUGACAAAAAGUAUUAACAUAUCUACAGUGAGUAUCACUCACCGGAGACUAAAACAAACAGACUUGGGUUAUUAUUUCCCUACCAUUAGCCUGCCCAGUGGCUGAUGGAGUCCUGCAGCUCUGACAGUGCCUUUGGGGGGUGUUUUUAAUGUGUCAGGGACUGUCUUUUUGUUCUGUUUUUGUACAGCGCCUAGCACCAUGGAGUCCUGGUCCAGAACUAGGGCUCCCAUGUCCUUUGAUAAUACAAAUAAUAAAUAUUAAUAAUAAAAUAAUGAGACUCUGCCAUGUGACAAUGGGGAAGAGCUGAUUUCUUCUAACGCUGAACAAGAACCUUUAUUAGAGUAAGGAAAACAAUAUUAGCCCUAAACUCGCUCUCCUGGCCACUUGCUUUCCCUGCAGAGGUUCUGCCUGGAAUCUUCCCCUGCCACCUGGCCUGCCUUGCUUCCUCUUAAACCCCGAGGAAUAGAGAAAGGUAGGGAGGGGGGUUGAUAGCUGAAACAACUAGGAGAGAGAGAGUAAGGCUGAUCACAGUCACUGAGGCACAAGGGAGAAGCCGGGCGUAGCAGCCCCGCUGAUUUCCAUCACCAGCUAACCUGGAAUCUGUUAGUGGAACAAAUGCUUCUGCUGGCCAUGUUUGUUUAAAUGCUUAUAGGUACAGCGUGUGCUUAUGUAGCCGGUAAAGUUUGGCAUUCUGAUUUUGUGACUAAGACCAAAGGUGUUAACACCAAAGCAUCUGUAACUUGAUUUCUGUUUGUGCGGGUAACCGGCCUGUGCUCUGAGGUUAACAUUAAAGCACUUUUACAAAUGUGGCAGGUGACUGCUUAAUUUAAAUUAAACUAAG
This is a long non-coding RNA of Trachemys scripta elegans, 3152 nucleotides long. RefSeq lists it as uncharacterized. The record is from RefSeq and is a predicted model, not a curated record. Lineage: Eukaryota; Metazoa; Chordata; Testudines; Emydidae. The transcript has 3 exons.